AUACGGAGGGGGCUAGCGUUGUUCGGAAUUACUGGGCGUAAAGGGUGCGUAGGCGGCUUGAUAAGUCGGAUGUGAAAGCCCCGGGCUUAACCUGGGAAUUGCAUUCGAUACUGUCAGGCUAGAGUAUGUCAGAGGUUGGCGGAAUUCCUGGUGUAGCGGUGAAAUGCGUAGAUAUCAGGAGGAACACCAGUGGCGAAGGCGGCUAACUGGGGCAAUACUGACGCUGAGGCACGAAAGCGUGGGGAUCAAACAGGAUUAGAAACCCGAGUAGUCC
Molecule: ribosomal RNA, 274 nt
Filed under: uncultured bacterium
Lineage: Bacteria
Description: partial 16S ribosomal RNA
Rfam family: Bacterial small subunit ribosomal RNA
Source: RNAcentral